This 449-nucleotide ribosomal RNA is filed under the name uncultured bacterium. RNAcentral describes it as "partial 16S ribosomal RNA". It matches the Rfam family "Bacterial small subunit ribosomal RNA", at positions 29 to 523 of the family's 1533-position model. The record is from RNAcentral.
AACGAACGCUGGCGGCAGGCUUAACACAUGCAAGUCGAGCGCAUCCUUCGGGGUGAGCGGCAGACGGGUGAGUAACGCGUGGGAACGUACCCUUUCCUACGGAAUAGCUCCGGGAAACUGGAAUUAAUACCGUAUACGCCCUUAGGGGGAAAGAUUUAUCGGGGAAGGAUCGGCCCGCGUUGGAUUAGCUAGUUGGUGGGGUAAAGGCCUACCAAGGCGACGAUCCAUAGCUGGUCUGAGAGGAUGAUCAGCCACAUUGGGACUGAGACACGGCCCAAACUACUACGGGAGGCAGCAGUGGGGAAUAUUGGACAAUCGGCGCAAGCCUGAUCCAGCCAUGCCGCGUGAGUGAUGAAGGCCUUAGGGUUGUAAAGCUCUUUCAGUAGGGAAGAUAAUGACGGUACCUACAGAAGAAGCCCCGGCUAACUUCGUGCCAGCAGCCGCAGUAA